UACGUAGGGUGCGAGCGUUGUUCGGAGUUACUGGGCGUAAAGGGUGUGUAGGCGGUUUUCUAAGUUUGGUGUGAAAUCUCCCGGCUCAACCGGGAGGGUGCGCCGAAAACUGGGAGACUAGAGUGCGGGAUGGGAGAGUAGAAUUCCUGGUGUAGCGGUGAAAUGCGUAGAUAUCAGGAGGAAUACCGGUGGUGUAGACGGCUCUCUGGACCGCCACUGACGCUGAGACACGAAAGCGUGGGUAGCAAACAGG
Molecule: ribosomal RNA, 253 nt
Filed under: uncultured bacterium
Lineage: Bacteria
Description: partial 16S ribosomal RNA
Rfam family: Bacterial small subunit ribosomal RNA
Source: RNAcentral